Molecule: ribosomal RNA, 753 nt
Filed under: uncultured bacterium
Lineage: Bacteria
Description: bacterial SSU rRNA
Rfam family: Bacterial small subunit ribosomal RNA
Source: RNAcentral
GUCGAGGGGCAGCAUGGGGGAGUAGCAAUACUCUCUGAUGGCGACCGGCGCAAGGGUGCGUAACGCGUGAGCAACUUGCCCUCAUCAGGGGAAUAAUCGCUGGAAACGGCGUCUAAUGCCCCAUGGCGAUGGAAUCAGGCAUCUGGUUCCAUCUAAAGAUCCGUCGGAUGAGGAUAGGCUCGCGUGACAUUAGCUUGACGGCGGGAUAACGGCCCACCGUGGCGACGAUGUCUAGGGGUUCUGAGAGGAAGGUCCCCCACACUGGAACUGAGACACGGUCCAGACUCCUACGGGAGGCAGCAGUGAGGAAUAUUGGUCAAUGGCCGGAAGGCUGAACCAGCCAUGCCGCGUGAAGGUCAGUGCCCUAUGGGCGUUAAACUUCUUUUGUGCGGGAGCAAUAAGGUCCACGUGUGGACCGACGAGAGUACCGUACGAAUAAGCAUCGGCUAACUCCGUGCCAGCAGCCGCGGUAAUACGGGGGAUGCAAGCGUUAUCCGGAUUUAUUGGGUUUAAAGGGUGCGUAGGCUGUGAGGUAAGUCAGCGGUGAAAUGCCCCCGCUCAACGGGGUGAAGUGCCAUUGAUACUGCCUUGCUGGAAUGCGGAUGCCGUGGGAGGAAUGUGUGGUGUAGCGGUGAAAUGCAUAGAUAUCACACAGAACACCGAUUGCGAAGGCAUCUCACGAAUCCGCGAUUGACGCUGAUGCACGAAAGCGUGGGUAUCAAACAGGAUUAGAUACCCUGGUAGUCCACGCUG